RNAcentral lists this ribosomal RNA (465 nucleotides) under uncultured Klebsiella sp. Its description in RNAcentral is "bacterial SSU rRNA". It matches the Rfam family "Bacterial small subunit ribosomal RNA", at positions 338 to 795 of the family's 1533-position model. The record is from RNAcentral. Lineage: Bacteria; Pseudomonadati; Pseudomonadota; Gammaproteobacteria; Enterobacterales; Enterobacteriaceae.
CCUACGGGGUGCAGCAGUGGGGAAUAUUGCACAAUGGGCGCAAGCCUGAUGCAGCCAUGCCGCGUGUGUGAAGAAGGCCUUCGGGUUGUAAAGCACUUUCAGCGGGGAGGAAGGCGUUAAGGUUAAUAACCUUGUCGAUUGACGUUACCCGCAGAAGAAGCACCGGCUAACUCCGUGCCAGCAGCCGCGGUAAUACGGAGGGUGCAAGCGUUAAUCGGAAUUACUGGGCGUAAAGCGCACGCAGGCGGUCUGUCAAGUCGGAUGUGAAAUCCCCGGGCUCAACCUGGGAACUGCAUUCGAAACUGGAAGGCUAGAGUCUUGUAGAGGGGGGUAGAAUUCCAGGUGUAGCGGUGAAAUGCGUAGAGAUCUGGAGGAAUACCGGUGGCGAAGGCGGCCCCCUGGACAAAGACUGACGCUCAGGUGCGAAAGCGUGGGGAGCAAACAGGAUUAGAUACCCCAGUAGUC